Long non-coding RNA from Gopherus flavomarginatus (Mexican gopher tortoise), 333 nucleotides. RefSeq lists it as uncharacterized. NCBI's taxonomy places the organism in Eukaryota, Metazoa, Chordata, Testudines, Testudinidae. The record is from RefSeq and is a predicted model, not a curated record. The transcript has 3 exons.
CAGGGACAGUCGGGGCUGGCUAUGGGGCUGCGCUGCGGGGUUUUCAGGGGGGGUCGGGGCUGGCUGCGAGGGGUCUGGCUAUGGGGCUGCGCUGUGGGGUUUUCAGGGGGGUCGGGGCUGGCUGCGAGGGGUCUGGCUAUGGGGCUGCGCUGUGGGGUUUUCAGGGGGGGUCGGGGCUGGCUGCGAGAGGUCUGGCUAUGGGGCUGCGCUGUGGGGUUUUCAGGGGGGUCGGGGCUGGCUGCGAGAGGUCUGGCUAUGGGGCUGCGCUGUGGGGUUUUCAGGGGGGGUCGGGGCUGGCUGCGAGAGGUCUGGCUAUGGGGCUGCGCUGUGAGG